RNAcentral lists this ribosomal RNA (627 nucleotides) under uncultured Russulaceae. Its description in RNAcentral is "LSU rRNA". It matches the Rfam family "Eukaryotic large subunit ribosomal RNA", at positions 47 to 649 of the family's 3401-position model. The record is from RNAcentral. Lineage: Eukaryota; Fungi; Basidiomycota; Agaricomycetes; Russulales; Russulaceae.
UAAGCGGAGGAAAAGAAACUAACAAGGAUUCCCCUAGUAACUGCGAGUGAAGCGGGAAAAGCUCAAAUUUAAAAUCUGGCGGUCUUUGGCCGUCCGAGUUGUAAUUUAGAGAAGCGUCUUCCGCGCUGGACCGUGCACAAGUCUCCUGGAAUGGAGCGUCAUAGAGGGUGAGAAUCCCGUCUUUGGCACGGAUGCCUGGUGCUUCUGUGAUGCGCUCUCGAAGAGUCGAGUUGUUUGGGAAUGCAGCUCAAAAUGGGUGGUGAACUCCAUCUAAAGCUAAAUAUUGGCGAGAGACCGAUAGCGAACAAGUACCGUGAGGGAAAGAUGAAAAGCACUUUGGAAAGAGAGUGAAACAGUACGUGAAAUUGUUGAAAGGGAAACGCUUGAAGUCAGUCGCGUCGACCGAGACUCAGCCUUGCCUUGGCUUGGUGUACUUCUCGGCCCGACGGGUCAGCAUCAAUUUUGCCCCUCGGAUAAUGGCAGGGGAAAGGUGGCACCUUUACGGGUGUGUUAUAGUCUCCUGUCGAAUGCGAGGGGUGGGAUUGAGGAACUCAGCGCGCACCUCAGUGUCGGGGCUUCGGCCCACGUCACGCGCUUAGGAUGCUGGCGUAAUGGCUUUAAACGACC